This 176-nucleotide unclassified non-coding RNA is filed under the name uncultured Filobasidiales. RNAcentral describes it as "sequence contains ITS1". The record is from RNAcentral. Lineage: Eukaryota; Fungi; Basidiomycota; Tremellomycetes.
GUGAAUUAAACAUGCUUGGUGUCCUUCGCUUCGGCAAGGCCCUUGCUUAAUACACAUCGACACACCUGUGAACUGUAAGGCGUUUUUUGGCAAAGGCUUAGCGGCCAGAGUCGAAUCGUCUGCCCCUUUUUAACAAACGAUUAAUGUAACAAAAGUAGUCUUAUUAUAACCUAAUA